This is a long non-coding RNA of Hemiscyllium ocellatum (epaulette shark), 1065 nucleotides long. RefSeq lists it as uncharacterized. Lineage: Eukaryota; Metazoa; Chordata; Chondrichthyes; Orectolobiformes; Hemiscylliidae. The transcript is spliced from 3 exons. The record is from RefSeq and is a predicted model, not a curated record.
GACUCCAUGUGAAGGCCCAAAAACUUCAGCAAGCAGCUUUCAAAGAAGCUGACUGGCUGCUCACCUUCCUCACCUUCAGGGAACCCGACAAUUCAGAGAUUUAUCCUCCGACCUCGAUUUUCGAGGUCAUCGAUAUGGUUUCGGAGGGCCCACACUUCUUGCUCCAGCAUCUGGAUCCGACUGGAUGAGUACUCCAUCGCAGCUUCCAAAGCCUUAGUUCGAACCUCCACCUCUUCCAGCCUCUCCCCGAGGCCCUGGAUCUCCUGCUCAGGCCUCUGCAGCAUGGAUGCAAUAGGUUGGACCUGGGCACGAAUCUCCCCAGGAAUUCCUCAAUGGCAGCCGUAACUUUCAAGAAUACAGGAGCUGCACUGGGACCACACGGGGGCGCUGUUCCGGCCUGGACCUGUGAGUUGCAAUCCGGAAGGCCUGCUCCACGCUUACCAGGCCUGACUUCAACGCUAACUGCAGGAACUUUGGGAGCCAUCCCUGCAGGAAGCCAACAAGAUUUUCACCUUCUUCACGUUUAGGGAGGCCCACGAUCCGUAAAUUUUUUCUUCUAUUUUUAGUUUCUAGAUUAUCGACUUGAUCCUGAAGGAUCCAAACCUGGUCUUCCAAUGUUCGGGCCCUUCAGUCCGAGACCUCUGCCAGGGUCUCCAAUGCCGUGGUCCUUCCCUCCACUGCCUCCAGUCUUCGUUUCAGGAGCUUGAUUUCCUGUUCAUGCUUUUUUUUUAGCCUGGCAGACAGUGGCUCCACUGCUACUUGAAUCCACUGUCAGAGUUUAGCAAACUCCGAGAGUAAGUACUGCUGUCCUGCUGGACCCGGAGGGGGCGUCUCAGGCAGCUGAGUACUGGCUGCAGGCACCACGACGCAGUAGGGGAGUGCCCUGUCUGCUGUGCUCCUUUAGGCCCCUUUCCUUUACCGGUCUUCAUCCUGGCCUGAAGGUGAAUCAGGUGAUUUCAGCUGCUCAAAAUAAUCAGGACAUAAUCAUUGGACAUGGGCAGCUUUACUGCUUUUACGAUGAACAGUGUUUAUUCCAACCAGGAACUGGUCCAACCUUCAUAUGAG